AUUGAACGCUGGCGGCAUGCCUUACACAUGCAAGUCGAACGGCAGCACGGGAGCAAUCCUGGUGGCGAGUGGCGAACGGAUGAGUAAUAUAUCGGAACGUGCCCAGUCGUGGGGGAUAACGUAGCGAAAGCUACGCUAAUACCGCAUACGAUCUAAGGAUGAAAGCGGGGGAUCGCAAGACCUCGCGCGAUUGGAGCGGCCGAUGGCAGAUUAGGUAGUUGGUAGGGUAAAGGCCUACCAAGCCGACGAUCUGUAGCUGGUCUGAGAGGAUGAUCAGCCACACUGGGACUGAGACACGGCCCAGACUCCUACGGGAGGCAGCAGUGGGGAAUCUUGGACAAUGGACGCAAGUCUGAUCCAGCCAUUCCGCGUGCAGGAUGAAGGCCCUCGGGUUGUAAACUGCUUUUGUACAGAACGAAAAGGCUCUGGUUAAUACCUAGGGCUCAUGACGGUACUGUAAGAAUAAGCACCGGCUAACUACGUGCCAGCAGCCGCCGUAA
This 500-nucleotide ribosomal RNA is filed under the name uncultured bacterium. RNAcentral's name for it is "partial 16S ribosomal RNA". It matches the Rfam family "Bacterial small subunit ribosomal RNA", at positions 30 to 523 of the family's 1533-position model. The record is from RNAcentral.